Long non-coding RNA from Ruditapes philippinarum (Manila clam), 3208 nucleotides. RefSeq lists it as uncharacterized. The record is from RefSeq and is a predicted model, not a curated record. Lineage: Eukaryota; Metazoa; Mollusca; Bivalvia; Venerida; Veneridae. The transcript is spliced from 3 exons.
AGAAAAUAAGAAAAUCAUUUCAAUUCGAAAAAUGACUAAAAAACUAGUGCCUUUGUUCUACUUACGCAAUGAAAAAAUCCUCAUUUAUGAAAAAGACCAUAUUGAUUGUAUUUGAUUAUAACAGGGCUUUUUAAAUAGACAGACCCUAAUUAUUAUGUACUAGAUAGUUCUAUAAAAUUAGUCAUUUGUUUCUUAUGUAGAUAUAGAUACCUAUAAUAUCAUAUGGUCUCUGUUUCGUUUUUAAACGUGAUCAACUUAUGUAAUUUACUCGCUCACAUAUGUAGCUUAAAUCGAGCUCUUUCUGUAAAAUGUCCAAGUGCUGUUUUACUGGAGUCAAUGCUCGGUGUAUUUAAUUGUUCAGUGCCUAUCUUUAAAAGGUUAUUAAGAAUUGAUAAAACUGAGAAAUAGAUGAACCUGCAGAAAUUACAGAACCAAUAGAUUCUAAAGCAGCAGAAUCAGUGGUUGAAGAUGAGAAAACAGAAGAGGAGACAGAUGUUCAAACUGAUCAUCUAGAAGGAUUUCAUUUAAUAGAAGAACAAGAAGACUUAGAUGUAACAUGUAGUGUAGCAGAGACAGAGGAUGAAACCACCAUUCCAGAAAGUUUAGCUGAAAGUAGGACAGAUGAAACAAUCGCAGAAGAUACAAGUAGAGAAGAUAGAACAUUGCAAGAGAUAGAUGGAGAGAAAGUAACAGGAGACAGAAGGAAAUGGAGUGAAGAAACGAAAGCGACAACUACCACAACAACCAACUAGAAAGUCAGAGAGAACAAAGAGGAUACCUGACAGAUAUAAAGAUUAUCACAUGCAUAGCAUUAUCAACAGUAGACCAUAUGAUCACAGAUUGCAGGCAUUGGAAUCCAUGAUUGCCUCAGGUGUGUUGAAGAAUAUAGAAAUAGAUACUGCAAGGAAAAUUUUUGAUGCUAUAAUGAAAUAAAUGCUAUAUUGAAAUGAUAUUGAAAAUUGUAUUUUACUGUACCAAUAAAUACAAAUUUGAGGUAACUAAUUGUGUUUUAAUAUGUUUUUAAUAUUGAUAGAAGUUGCUAAGAUAGAAGUUGCGCAUAUGUUUUUUUUUCGCAGGAAAUAUGAUUAUUGAUCAUAAUUCGUGACAUGGCGUGUAUGUUUUUUUUUCUCAAUAAGUAUGAUUAUUUAUCAUUUUUUAGCGAUAUUUUAUUGCUUUGAAAUAGUUUUUUUCGCGACAUUAUAUGCUAGCACGUUGUUCGCGAUAAUUGAGAGAAAUUUAUGUCGUUUGAGACACUAUGCAAACAUACUGAUUUUAUAUGCUUUAAAUUAAAACAAUUUUUUUGUUUUUAAAUGUAUAUUGUUUAAAAAUACAGCAUUGUAUUUUUGAUGCUGUUACAAUAUGAUGUAUAGAUAUUUUAUGGAAGGACAAACAUUUUGUUCUUAAUUGUAGGAUAACCUUUAAAACUGAAUAUAUUAAAAGGGAAUGUUUGCUUCCAUGAAAUGUUGCUAAAUAUAUUUUAACUGACAGACUAUUUGACAUGACUAUUUGACAUGACCAUGAUGGGACGUCAUUUUCUCAAAGCAGGGAAGUGCGUAACCAAAGAGAAAUAAUCAGUUGUAGUUUAUUGAUUGAAAUCUGUAGGAGUGAUUUCCCUUGGCUGUUUUAUUAGUUAGUCAUGCAUGUAAUUGUUCCCGCCAUUUUCUGAGUUGUCAGAAGGCAGACAUGUUUUUCAGUAGUUUAUAAUAAUAAGUUGAUGAUUAAUUCUUAAAAAGGAUUGUGGCUUUUGGAUUGAGUAUGUUGCAGUAACACCACAAGACUGAGAGUAUUUUUGUAUGAGUGUCAUUUGAGUCCAAUCCACAAUUGGGCUUGAUCUUCUUGAUACUGAUUAUAUAUUGAUUGGUGCUUAAACAAGUGCUUGAAGUUGUGAUGUGACUUUAACCUCUUGGGUUAAAUCUACUUGAAGCUUUAUAUUAUACAUUGUAAUUAUAUACUAAGAUCAUACACUGAUGGACAUUUCAAUUAAAAGUAUUGAACAAACUCAGCCUCGUUGAUAAUUUAUACCUUUACAUCUUUAAGGGCAUAAUUUUAACAAAGGUAACAGAUUUAUAUGACUGUUUGUCUUUAAAGUGCAUUUUCAGCAUGAAAUUUGUUUUUGUGACAUGUAAUAUGAUUGGCAAAUUUGAAAACAUGGUUAGAAAUCACAUGCUGUUAAUUAUAGAUGUCAAGGCCGCUAUUGUUUGUGAACAGCAUGCUUGGUGAAAACAAGUAAUUUUGCAGGGGGGUACAAACUUUCAGCAAUAGCAAAAAAUCUACAUGUACAAGGUCAAGCACCUAUUUCUUUGUGAUAUUUUGCAUGUAUAGGGAGUUGCUAGAGUAGUGACAGAGUUUCUGUAGCCCAUACUGGUCAGGGACCAUCAACCGGACACUUUUUGAACAUUUUUCCAUACAGAUUUCAUAAUGUCAAACCUACAUGUAGGUUCUUCUCCUAACUAACAAACUACUUUGUUUAUUUCUGAUUGUAUUGACAUAUGUAUCUGAGGCUCCUCCAGGAGGGUAUCAAAAUGACCUCAAUUGUCCAUGUGUCCGGACAGAUAAGUACAGGAUGUGAUUUAAUUCAGAUAAAAGCUUGGGGUUUUUUUUUGUUAUAUUUUUUUAACUGUUGAUAUACAAUAUUUCAGCAACAAAUGCUGAAGUUUUGGAUAUUCUAUUGUUUACACUGCAAAUGAUUAUAGCUGGUAUAUGAGGUCAGGCAUUGCUUUCUUGACGCCCAAAUUUCAACGUCAACAUUCUUGAAAUAGACAUUAAAAUAUUAUCAUUUACGAGGUUGAAAUAAUUUUUUUUACUUAAAUAUAGAAGAAACAUGUUUCUAUUGUUAAUAAAAAAAGUGAUUGACAACCACUGAACAAAGAAAAUACUAAAUUAAGCAUUUUCAGGACCGUCCGGGUUUGGUGGUUGUCCGGUUGUGGUGGUCCCCAACCAGUAUAUGUGCAGGUAUUUUUUGCCAGAGGGACGAAAUAUGUUGUUUUGGGUCUCGGACCACUGUAGAUUUUUGGCUUUUACGGAAUGAAUUGGAACUGCCUGACUUUGCACAUGGGUUGUGUAGUUUGGGAUCAGAUUUAUCAGACAUAUUGCUUGUAGGACAUUGACGACAGAAAAUUGAAAUUGCCAGCACACAGAACUGCUUGGUCCCUGUGGUUAAAUACAAUAAAAUUUAAAUCAGUUUAGGAAAAUUUACUUUGAUUUGGGA